AACACAGCGAGUCGCGGACUCAUUACAUUACUUCAUUUGCCGAUUGAAAACCUGCGAUUAGGGCACGUUCAGAGUUGUACCUAAGCUUUGGGCACGUUAGCACUCUGUGUGUACACUCCAAAUGUUGACUGAUUGAGUUCGAGAUGGAGGAUCCCAAUGUACCGAGCCAUGCCAUCGUGAAGUUACGUAGCAAGCAGCUGGUAGACGCCCAGGUCAGCGAGUUUGACGUGCCUGAUUUACC
RNAcentral lists this unclassified non-coding RNA (241 nucleotides) under Pectinophora gossypiella (pink bollworm). Its description in RNAcentral is "uncharacterized LOC126380516". The record is from RNAcentral. Lineage: Eukaryota; Metazoa; Arthropoda; Insecta; Lepidoptera; Gelechiidae.